GGAGGGGUGUCCGAGUGGUUAAAGGAGGCAGACUGUAAAUCUGUUGGCUAUGCCUACGGAGGUUCGAAUCCUCCCCCCUCCA
RNAcentral lists this transfer RNA (82 nucleotides) under Thioploca sp. RNAcentral's name for it is "tRNA-Tyr". It matches the Rfam family "tRNA". From Rfam's summary of the family: Transfer RNA (tRNA) molecules are approximately 80 nucleotides in length. Their secondary structure includes four short double-helical elements and three loops (D, anti-codon, and T loops). Lineage: Bacteria; Pseudomonadati; Pseudomonadota; Gammaproteobacteria; Thiotrichales; Thiotrichaceae. The record is from RNAcentral.